This 465-nucleotide ribosomal RNA is filed under the name Vreelandella stevensii. RNAcentral's name for it is "partial 16S ribosomal RNA". It matches the Rfam family "Bacterial small subunit ribosomal RNA", at positions 338 to 795 of the family's 1533-position model. The record is from RNAcentral. Lineage: Bacteria; Pseudomonadati; Pseudomonadota; Gammaproteobacteria; Oceanospirillales; Halomonadaceae.
CCUACGGGCGGCUGCAGUGGGGAAUAUUGGACAAUGGGGGCAACCCUGAUCCAGCCAUGCCGCGUGUGUGAAGAAGGCCCUCGGGUUGUAAAGCACUUUCAGUGAGGAAGAACGCCUGGUGGUUAAUACCCAUCAGGAAAGACAUCACUCACAGAAGAAGCACCGGCUAACUCCGUGCCAGCAGCCGCGGUAAUACGGAGGGUGCGAGCGUUAAUCGGAAUUACUGGGCGUAAAGCGCGCGUAGGUGGCUUGAUAAGCCGGUUGUGAAAGCCCCGGGCUCAACCUGGGAACGGCAUCCGGAACUGUCAAGCUAGAGUGCAGGAGAGGAAGGUAGAAUUCCCGGUGUAGCGGUGAAAUGCGUAGAGAUCGGGAGGAAUACCAGUGGCGAAGGCGGCCUUCUGGACUGAAACUGACACUGAGGUGCGAAAGCGUGGGUAGCAAACAGGAUUAGAUACCCUAGUAGUC